GACGAACGCUGGCGGCGUGCUUAACACAUGCAAGUCGAACGGAAAGGCCCUGCUUUUGUGGGGUGCUCGAGUGGCGAACGGGUGAGUAACACGCGAGUAACCUGCCCUUGACUUUGGGAUAACUCCAGGAAACUGGGGCUAAUACCGGAUAGGAGCUCCUGCUGCAUGGGGGGGGUUGGAAAGUUUCGGCGGUUGGGGAUGGACUCGCGGCUUAUCAGCUUGUUGGUGGGGUAGUGGCUUACCAAGCCUUUGACGGGUAGCCGGCCUGAGAGGGUGACCGGCCACAUUGGGACUGAGAUACGGCCCAGACUCCUACGGGAGGCAGCAGUGGAGAAUAUUGCACAAUGGGCGGAAGCCUGAUGCAGAAACGCCGCGUGCGGGAUGACGGCCUUCGGGUUGUAAACCGCUUUCGCCUGUGACGAAGCGUGAGUGACGGUAAUAGGUAAAGAAGCACCGGCUAACUACGUG
Molecule: ribosomal RNA, 468 nt
Filed under: uncultured bacterium
Lineage: Bacteria
Description: partial 16S ribosomal RNA
Rfam family: Bacterial small subunit ribosomal RNA
Source: RNAcentral